GAUGAAGAACGCAGCGAAAUGCGAUAAGUAAUGUGAAUUGCAGAAUUCAGUGAAUCAUCGAAUCUUUGAACGCACAUUUCGCCCCCUGGUAUUCCGGGGGGCAUGCCUGUCCGAGCGUCAUUACAACCCUCAAGCUCAGCUUGGUGUUGGGCCCCGCCGCCCCGGCGGGCCCUAAGGUCAGUGGCGGUGCCGUCCGGCUCCGAGCGUAGUAAUUCUUCUCGCUCUGGAGGUCCGGUCGUGUGCUCGCCAGCAACCCCCAAUUUUUUUCAGGUUGACCUCGGAUCAGGUAGGGAUACCCGCUGAACUUAAGCAUAUCAAUAAGCGGAGGA
Molecule: unclassified non-coding RNA, 329 nt
Filed under: soil metagenome
Description: partial contains 5.8S ribosomal RNA, internal transcribed spacer 2, and large subunit ribosomal RNA
Rfam family: 5.8S ribosomal RNA (bases 1-120)
Source: RNAcentral